This 253-nucleotide ribosomal RNA is filed under the name uncultured bacterium. RNAcentral's name for it is "partial 16S ribosomal RNA". It matches the Rfam family "Bacterial small subunit ribosomal RNA", at positions 524 to 776 of the family's 1533-position model. The record is from RNAcentral.
GACAGAGGGCGCGAACGUUGUUCGGAAUUACUGGGCGUAAAGCGCGUGUAGGCUGUUCGGAAAGUCGGGUGUGAAAGCCCUGGGCUCAACCUAGGAAGUGCACUCGAAACUCCCGAACUGGAGUCCCGGAGAGGAAGGCGGAAUUCUCGGUGUAGAGGUGAAAUUCGUAGAUAUCGAGAGGAACAUCGGUGGCGAAGGCGGCCUUCUGGACGGUGACUGACGCUGAGGUGCGAAAGCGUGGGGAGCAAACAGG